UUCAUUUUAGCAAUAGCUAUUAAAGAAAAUAAUAUACAUCAUCCCUCAACUCCUCUACACAUCAAGGACAACAAGUGAACGACCAAAUAGAUCAUAUAAUACUUGGUUGAUCACAUGGAACUACAAAUGAAAAACACAGCUUCUUCCCUCUACUUCUGGAUUGCAAAACAUCUUUUGCAUUUGGAACAAUCAAACAUUAGUUUCAAAAAAAC
RNAcentral lists this long non-coding RNA (212 nucleotides) under Hordeum vulgare. Its description in RNAcentral is "long non-coding RNA (HVUL_LNC015772)". Lineage: Eukaryota; Viridiplantae; Streptophyta; Magnoliopsida; Poales; Poaceae. The record is from RNAcentral.